This 343-nucleotide long non-coding RNA is filed under the name Mytilus galloprovincialis (Mediterranean mussel). Lineage: Eukaryota; Metazoa; Mollusca; Bivalvia; Mytilida; Mytilidae. The record is from RNAcentral.
AUUUGAUAAUAUUUUUAUUGUCAUUUGAUAUUUUAAACAUGAUCCAUGUUUUAGAGGUUAAGCAUUUCUUUUACUUUUUGUUCUUGGGUUAGAGACAUUAUAAUGAGAAGGUAAAUGAUUUUCAAAUGGAUUAUCUCAAAGUUGUUUUGUUAACUUUACAAUCAAGGAAUAGGUGUUCUUCAUUGACCUACAAGAGGCACUGUUUACACAUUCUAUCCUUUCUAGGAAUUUUAUAUUGUCCACUAUUUUUUAUUUCUAAAUUAUGACCAAAAAUUCUAUACCUAUCGACACAAUCAAGUUUACAGUUUUUAUCAAAAGUUUUUAUUUUUCUUUUUUUCUUUAA